UCUUCUACUUUCCACACUUCACUAUCUAAAAUUCUUUGCCACUCAUUUACUAUACUUUUAGAGGACAAGAGAUUCCCUGUACGUUUAUCGCACAAGAGGUUCCCUGUUACCUUUGCAGCAAGAGGCAGGCCUUUGCACUUGCGUGCAAUUUGUCGUGCGAUUGGUUCUAAUUUUUCACGAUCAACAGAAGAAUGACCGAAAAAUGCGAACCGCUCGAACAACGACCAGAAUUCAUCUUCAGGCAAUGGCUUAAUGGAGAUAAUAUUUGUUGAUCUCAUCAUACGGGCAACUGACACAUUACGUGUGGUAACCACAAUUUUACUUCCGGGAAGACCAUUCUUUAGACAAAAGAAGAAUUGAGCCCAUAUAUUAUAAUUCCCAUCCCAUACAUCAUCUAAGACAAGAAAAAUUUUUUUCCCUUCAAUUGAUCUAUGGAUAUGGCUCAUAAGAGAUUGGAAUUCGCUUAAACCAGAAGCUUCUUUUGACUCGUCUAGACCUUCAAUAAUUGCUUUGGCGACCCUCAUCUCAUCAAAAGUGUCCGAUACACACACCCAUAUAACUUUUUCAAAAUUUAUUUUCACCUCAUCAUUAUUAUAGGCUAGUUGUGCAAGAGUGGUUUUACCUAUACCCCCUAACCCAACCAGUGAGAUGAUAUGAGGAUGUUGUUCGCCAUUCUCACCCAACAACUUACCUAACAGCUCAUUUUUCUCGUCAUCUCUACCAAAAACCUCUCCCUCAUCAAUCAAGAAGGUGGUUCGCACUCGCUCUGGUUUCUUAACAUUGUUACUCACAUUCUCAACAAAUUUGAAACUAUCUUUUUGUCUGGCAAUAUCAUCUAGCUUUUCACUGAUUUCUCUAAUCUUGACAGCAAUAUCAUGACGAAGACUGAGUUGUUUGAAACCACCAAAGCAGUUUGAGGCAGCAGGAAAGAAGGAACAUACCUUCGUCAAAAGAGUAACAAAAGCAUUGGCGUCAUCAUCAUCAUCAUCAUCGCCGUCCUCAUCAAGCUGCAAUUUCCGUGUUUCAGUGAUCCACUCUUCCAACACAUCUUCCAUGUCGUAGGAUGCGUCUCUGAGCUGAUCCAGCCAAAAAGUAACAGCGUUGUCCUGCUUCAUUUGCCUCUGCUCUGCAUCUUCCAGCACAGCUUGAAUGGCUCAUUACUCAGCCCUUCUACUCUACAUUCACGAAGGAGUUGAAGAUUUUUCAGAGAUUCAAGCCUACACGUAUUGUUACCAUCAACACCUCCACCCACAACAAACUUUUCUAAUGUUCGAAGGCUGGUCAAUCUGGAAAUCCCUAUUGGCAGGUACUUCAACGAACUAGUAUCACCAUUUAGUAAACUCCUCAUGUUCUUUAACUUCCCAAUCCCCGUAGGCAAUUCUCUUAGAUCUUGGCACCGCCUAAUAUCUAGCUUUUGUAAAUUAUAUAAUUCACACAAAGUCUCAGGUAGACUCUCUAUACGUAGUCCAGACAAAUUAAGAUAUUUUAAAUGUAUCAAUUUUUCAACAUUUUCUGGAAUUUCUCUAAUCAAAUUUAGGUCAGGACGAAAAAUUGGGGACGGUUGGCUUAUAACUAAUGCCCUUAAACACGCCAAUUUACUAAAUAACUCCCGAAGGAUACUACUAUUAAGAGAUGGAUUGGAAGGACUUUCAUCAUCAAUUCCGAGUCCAGGACUGGACACAAGAUAUAAAACUGCAUUGACAAGACUAUAAGCGGAUGAAAUAGCCAUGGAUUGAAAUAAAGAUGGAUUGUAAUGACUUGUAUCAUAAAUUAAGAGGCUACGCAAUCGAUCAAAUUCAAAAAAGGACAUAGGAAAUGAAGCUCCUCUUUGAAAAUUUAACCCUAUGUGACGGACUUUCUCACCAAAAAAGUUUAUGACUAAUUCCUUGGUACCAUUUAUUUCUACCCACAAACAUUCUUUUCUACUUACAAAUUGGGCAAAAUCAUGUACUAUGUCAUGCAUCUUACACCUCAGAAUAUCAUCAUCGUCAUCAUCUUUUUCAAACUCUUGAAAGAAAGAGCGUGUUGCUAAGAUGUUGAAAUACUCUUCUCCAAUCAUCUCCAUUUCUUCGUCUUCAUCUGCAUUAAGGUAACCUUGAGCCAUCCAUAGAUUAAUCAAUUCCCUUUUAUUCAUAUUGUAGUCUUUUGGAAAGACAGCACAAUAUGAGAAGCACCGUUUUACCAUAGAAUUGGAGGGCAAAUCGUUAUAACUCAACAACAAAGGAGCCAAAAGACCUUGCUUAAUCUCUUCUACUUUCCACACUUCACUAUCUAAAAUUCUUUGCCACUCAUUUACUAUACUUUUAGAGGACAAGAGAUUCCCUGUACGUUUAUCGCACAAGAGGUUCCCUGUUACCUUUGCAGCAAGAGGCAGGCCUUUGCACUUGCGUGCAAUUUGUCGUGCGAUUGGUUCUAAUUUUUCACGAUCAACAGAAGAAUGACCGAAAAAUGCGAACCGCUCGAACAACGACCAGAAUUCAUCUUCAGGCAAUGGCUUAAUGGAGAUAAUAUUUGUUGAUCUCAUCAUACGGGCAACUGACACAUUACGUGUGGUAACCACAAUUUUACUUCCGGGAAGACCAUUCUUUAGACAAAAGAAGAAUUGAGCCCAUAUAUUAUAAUUCCCAUCCCAUACAUCAUCUAAGACAAGAAAAAUUUUUUUCCCUUCAAUUGAUCUAUGGAUAUGGCUCAUAAGAGAUUGGAAUUCGCUUAAACCAGAAGCUUCUUUUGACUCGUCUAGACCUUCAAUAAUUGCUUUGGCGACCCUCAUCUCAUCAAAAGUGUCCGAUACACACACCCAUAUAACUUUUUCAAAAUUUAUUUUCACCUCAUCAUUAUUAUAGGCUAGUUGUGCAAGAGUGGUUUUACCUAUACCCCCUAACCCAACCAGUGAGAUGAUAUGAGGAUGUUGUUCGCCAUUCUCACCCAACAACUUACCUAACAGCUCAUUUUUCUCGUCAUCUCUACCAAAAACCUCUCCCUCAUCAAUCAAGAAGGUGGUUCGCACUCGCUCUGGUUUCUUAACAUUGUUACUCACAUUCUCAACAAAUUUGAAACUAUCUUUUUGUCUGGCAAUAUCAUCUAGCUUUUCACUGAUUUCUCUAAUCUUGACAGCAAUAUCAUGACGAAGACUGAGUUGUUUGAAACCACCAAAGCAGUUUGAGGCAGCAGGAAAGAAGGAACAUACCUUCGUCAAAAGAGUAACAAAAGCAUUGGCGUCAUCAUCAUCAUCAUCAUCGCCGUCCUCAUCAAGCUGCAAUUUCCGUGUUUCAGUGAUCCACUCAUCCAACACAUCUUCCAUGUCGUAGGAUGCGUCUCUGAGCUGAUCCAGCCAAAAAGUAACAGCGUUGUCCUGCUUCAUUUGCCUCUGCUCUGCAUCUUCCAGCACAGCUUGAAUGGCUUGAAGAUUGGUGGU
RNAcentral lists this long non-coding RNA (3415 nucleotides) under Citrus sinensis (sweet orange). RNAcentral describes it as "long non-coding RNA (CSIN_LNC001074)". Lineage: Eukaryota; Viridiplantae; Streptophyta; Magnoliopsida; Sapindales; Rutaceae. The record is from RNAcentral.